UACGUAGGGACCGAGCGUUGUCCGGAAUCAUUGGGCGUAAAGAGCGUGUAGGCGGCCACUUAAGUCCUGCGUGAAAUCUUGCGGCUCAACCGCAAGCGGUCGUGGGAAACUGGGUGGCUAGAGUGCGGGAGAGGAGAGUGGAAUUCCUGGUGUAGCGGUGGAAUGCGCAGAUAUCAGGAAGAACACCCGUGGCUAAGGCGACUCUCUAGUACGGUACUGACGCUGAGACGCGAAAGCGUGGGGAGCGAACAGG
RNAcentral lists this ribosomal RNA (253 nucleotides) under uncultured bacterium. RNAcentral describes it as "partial 16S ribosomal RNA". It matches the Rfam family "Bacterial small subunit ribosomal RNA", at positions 524 to 776 of the family's 1533-position model. The record is from RNAcentral.